Molecule: ribosomal RNA, 694 nt
Filed under: uncultured bacterium
Lineage: Bacteria
Description: bacterial SSU rRNA
Rfam family: Bacterial small subunit ribosomal RNA
Source: RNAcentral
CUGGCGGCGUGGAUAAGACAUGCAAGUCGAACGCUGACAUACGGGUAGCAAUAUUCGGAUGUCGGAGUGGCGCAAGGGUGCGUAACACGUGGGCAAUCUGCCGUGAAGUCGGGGAUAACUUGCUGAAAGGCGAGCUAAUACCGGAUGUGAAAAUCGAAGGGCAUCUUUUGAUUUUCAAAGUUGGGGACCGCAAGGCCUGACGCUUCACGAUGAGCCCGCGGCCUAUCAGCUAGUUGGUAAGGUAACGGCUUACCAAGGCUAAGACGGGUAGCUGGUCUGAGAGGACGACCAGUCACACCGGAACUGAGACACGGUCCAGACACCUACGGGUGGCAGCAGUCGAGAAUUUUUCUCAAUGGGCGAAAGCCUGAAGGAGCGACGCCGCGUGGGGGAUGAAGGGCUUCGGCUCGUAAACCCCUGUCAUUUGCGAACAAACCUCUUCACUUAACAUGUGAAGAGCUGAUUGUAGCAGAAGAGGAAUGGACGGCUAACUCUGUGCCAGCAGCCGCGGUAAUACAGAGGUCCCAAGCGUUGUUCGGAUUCACUGGGCGUAAAGGGUGCGUAGGUGGCAAAGUAAGUCUGAUGUGAAAUCUCUGAGCUUAACUCGGAAACUGCAUUGGAAACUGCCUUGCUAGAGUAUUGGAAGGGGGACUGGAAUACUUGGUGUAGCAGUGAAAUGCGUAGAUAUCAAGUG